This 468-nucleotide ribosomal RNA is filed under the name uncultured bacterium. RNAcentral's name for it is "partial 16S ribosomal RNA". It matches the Rfam family "Bacterial small subunit ribosomal RNA", at positions 28 to 507 of the family's 1533-position model. The record is from RNAcentral.
GACGAACGCUGGCGGCGUGCUUAACACAUGCAAGUCGAACGGACAGGUCCUGCUUUUGUGGGGUGCUCGAGUGGCGAACGGGUGAGUAACACGUGAGUAACCUGCCCUUGACUUUGGGAUAACUUCAGGAAACUGGGGCUCAUCCCGGAUAGGAGCUCCUGCUGCAUGGUGGGGGUUGGAAAGUUUCGGCGGUUGGGGAUGGACUCGCGGCUUAUCAGCUUGUUGGUGGGGUAGUGGAUUACCAAGGCUUUGACGGGUAGCGGGCCUGAGCGGGGGAACGGCCAAAUCGGGACGGGGAUACGGCCCGGACCCAUACGGGAGGCAGCGGUGGAGAAUAUUACACAAUGGGCGGAAGGCAGAUGCAGCGAAGCCGUGUGCGGGAUAACGGGCUUCGGGUUGGAAACCGAUUUUGUCUGUGAGGAAGCGUGAGUGACGGUAAUGGGUAAAGAAGCACCGGCUAACUACGUG